CAAAGAGCAGUCUGCAAGAGGAAGGUAUUUCACUUCCUUCCACAGUUUUUCUGGAGAUGUAAAGGUUAAAAGGGGUGGGGCAGGGGCUCCCUUCUGUGACAGUCCCAGCCUCACCUAGAGCAGUUCCGUAGGCAUUUUUUGGGGAUGAUCUUCAAUAAUCAGCCACUUCCUAAUUGCCAAGCCCAUUAAUAUGAAUCAGAUAUUUGUGGAACUUUCAAGUACUGCAUGGGAAAUGUUGUCUGGGGAUAAAAACACUGUUGGGAGAGUCAAGGGCUUUGCCUGUGGCUGUCUGGAUUUACUGGGUGACUAAGGUUCCUCAGGAACUAUAUUUGCCAUUCAUUGCCUGCUUACCCUUCUCUAGACCCC
RNAcentral lists this long non-coding RNA (366 nucleotides) under Pan troglodytes (chimpanzee). Its description in RNAcentral is "long non-coding RNA NONPTRT011522". The record is from RNAcentral. Lineage: Eukaryota; Metazoa; Chordata; Mammalia; Primates; Hominidae.